GCCGGAGUGGUCGAGUGGUUCAAGACGGCAGCCUGCAAAGCUGCUGCGCCUUGUGCGUAUCGCGGGUUCGAAUCCCGCCUCCGGCU
Molecule: transfer RNA, 86 nt
Filed under: Armatimonas rosea
Lineage: Bacteria; Bacillati; Armatimonadota; Armatimonadia; Armatimonadales; Armatimonadaceae
Rfam family: tRNA
About the family: Transfer RNA (tRNA) molecules are approximately 80 nucleotides in length. Their secondary structure includes four short double-helical elements and three loops (D, anti-codon, and T loops).
Source: Rfam by way of RNAcentral